RNAcentral lists this ribosomal RNA (207 nucleotides) under uncultured bacterium. Its description in RNAcentral is "partial 16S ribosomal RNA". It matches the Rfam family "Bacterial small subunit ribosomal RNA", at positions 568 to 774 of the family's 1533-position model. The record is from RNAcentral.
CGUGUAGGCGGCAGAUCAAGUCGGGUGUGAAAGCCCUCGGCUCAACCGAGGAACUGCAUCCGAUACUGGUCAGCUAGAGUGCGAGAGGGGUGAGUGGAACUCCAAGUGUAGCGGUGAAAUGCGUAGAUAUCUGGAGGAACGCCGGUGGCGAAAGCGACUCACUGGCUCGCAACUGACGCUAGGGCGCGAAAGCUAGGGUAGCGAAUG